Molecule: ribosomal RNA, 253 nt
Filed under: uncultured bacterium
Lineage: Bacteria
Description: partial 16S ribosomal RNA
Rfam family: Bacterial small subunit ribosomal RNA
Source: RNAcentral
UACGUAGGCAGCAAGCGUUGUUCGGAGUUACUGGGCGUAAAGGGUGUGUAGGCGGUUCUUUAAGUUUGCUGUGAAAUCUCCCGGCUUAACCGGGAGGGUGCGGUGAAUACUGAGGGACUAGAGUACGGGAGAGGAAAGUGGAAUUCCUGGUGUAGCGGUGAAAUGCGUAGAUAUCAGGAGGAACACCGGUGGUGUAGACGGCUUUCUGGACCGUAACUGACGCUGAAACACGAAAGCGUGGGUAGCAAACAGG